Molecule: ribosomal RNA, 584 nt
Filed under: Pseudosydowia eucalypti
Lineage: Eukaryota; Fungi; Ascomycota; Dothideomycetes; Dothideales; Saccotheciaceae
Description: eukaryotic LSU rRNA
Rfam family: Eukaryotic large subunit ribosomal RNA
Source: RNAcentral
AGGAAAAGAAACCAACAGGGAUUGCCCUAGUAACGGCGAGUGAAGCGGCAAUAGCUCAAAUUUGAAAGCUGGCCUUCUGGUCCGCAUUGUAAUUUGCAGAGGAUGCUUUGGGGCAGCCGCCUGUCUAAGUUCCUUGGAACAGGACGUCAUAGAGGGUGAGAAUCCCGUAUGUGACAGGACAUGGCACCCUAUGUAAAGCUCCUUCGACGAGUCGAGUUGUUUGGGAAUGCAGCUCUAAAUGGGAGGUAAAUUUCUUCUAAAGCUAAAUACCGGCGAGAGACCGAUAGCGCACAAGUAGAGUGAUCGAAAGAUGAAAAGCACUUUGGAAAGAGAGUUAAAAAGCACGUGAAAUUGUUGAAAGGGAAGCGCUUGCAAUCAGACUUGUUCUGACUGUUCGGCCGGUCUUCUGACCGGUUUAUUCAGUCUGGGCAGGCCAGCAUCAGUUUCGGCGGUCGGAUAAAGGCCCUGGGAAUGUGGCUCUGCCUUCGGGGAGAGUGUUAUAGCCCAGGGUGUAAUACGGCCAGCCGGGACUGAGGUCCGCGCUUCGGCUAGGAUGCUGGCGUAAUGGUUGUAAGCGACCCGUC